Molecule: ribosomal RNA, 567 nt
Filed under: uncultured bacterium
Lineage: Bacteria
Description: bacterial SSU rRNA
Rfam family: Bacterial small subunit ribosomal RNA
Source: RNAcentral
UUAGAUAGUUGGUGGGGUAACGGCCUACCAAGUCUACGAUCUAUAGCUGGUUUGAGAGGAUGAUCAGCAACACUGGGACUGAGACACGGCCCAGACUCCUACGGGAGGCAGCAGUGGGGAAUCUUAGACAAUGGGCGCAAGUGAUCUAGCCAUGCCGCGUGAGUGACGAAGGCCUUAGGGUCGUAAAGCUCUUUCGCCAGGGAUGAUAAUGACAGUACCUGGUAAAGAAACCCCGGCUAACUCCGUGCCAGCAGCCGCGGUAAUACGGAGGGGGUUAGCGUUGUUCGGAAUUACUGGGCGUAAAGCGCGCGUAGGGGAUUGGAAAGUUGGGGGUGAAAUCCCGGGGCUCAACCCCGAACUGCCUCCAAAACUAUCAGUCUAGAGUUCGAGAGAGGUGAGUGGAAUUCCAAGUGUAGAGGUGAAAUUCGUAGAUAUUUCGGAGGAACACCAGUGGCGAAGCGGCUCACUGGCUCGAUACUGACGCUGAGGUGCGAAAGUGUGGGGAGCAAACAGGAUUAGAUACCCUGGUAGUCCACACCGUAAACGAUGAAUGCCAGACGUCGGGGG